Molecule: long non-coding RNA, 1339 nt
Organism: Panthera uncia (snow leopard)
Lineage: Eukaryota; Metazoa; Chordata; Mammalia; Carnivora; Felidae
Exons: 2
Source: RefSeq, a predicted model, not a curated record
CAGAGGAUCCAAGGCAGGCUCUGCGCUGACAGCAAAGAGUCAGAUGCAGGGCUUGAACUCACAAACUGAACCCUGAGAUCAUGACCUGAGCUGGACACUUCAAACCCGACAGCCACCCCGGUCCGGUGCCCCAAGAAAACAGGAUUCAAAACAAAACAAAACAAAACCUACUUAUAAAAAGCAGAAGCUAUUGGAUCACUUUAUUCUUUUUGUUAGGUGUUCUAUAAUUUUUCUACCAUGAUCAUGGAUUACCUUUGAAUUAAAUGUGCGUAAUUAAAAGGGAUGGAAUAGAGCUGAUGUGAGGGGAAAAUGCUGAGCUCGGCAACUUUCGGGGACUCCUCUGCACCUCUUGUGGAUGCUUCACACGCUGUUACCUCAGGUUUCUGUCUCAACAAGCCUGGAAUGGAAGCAGUGGGACUCCCCCUACUCGACUGCAAAGACUGAGUUCCCAGAGCCGCCAAAGGCCUUGCCAUCACGAGGCCAAGGCCCCGGUGAUGCGCCAGGAGCGGGCAUUCAAAUGCACAGCACUUUUAUCAAGGUCAGACUUCCAACUCUGGGAAAAGCAGAACCUUCUUCCUUUCCUGCAACCUGACCACAGAGCCUCUGAGAAAAGCCUUCCCCAUCCGAGCAACACUCUGGGAACCUGCUUCCUCCACCUCAGGUCAGGUUCAUUUAUUAUUAAAGAACAGUCUUGUGUCCGGCCAAAGGUUUCUGUGUGUGAACUUAAUUUUUUUUUAAGUUCAUUCAUUUAUUUUUGAGAGAGAGAGAGCAGAGGAGGAGGAGGACAGAGAGAGGAGAGAGAGAGGUGCUCCAGAAACAAAUAUUUUAAAAGUGUCCGCCUGUUUGUUGCUCAAGAGUUCCAACCUGGCCACAGUAAGGAAGUGAUACAGUGGAGCAGAGGAUCGGGGGACCGCCUCAAAGCUGGCAGGGACACAAACCACCGCCUGAAUCUGACCUGCACUGACUCCUGGAGCCGUGGACUGUUUGCUCUCUGUCUGAGGCUUUAUCUGCCAGGGAGAUGGGCAAGCGGCCAGGGCCCUCUCGGGUGAGGGGUUGAACAGCCAGGCGGUGGCACGCUGCCAUACCAGAUGUCAUGGCUGGUCACUCAGAGGAGCUCUGGGCCAGGAGUCAGGAGGCCGAGGGCCGGGAGAUGGCUCCAGCUGGGCUCCAUGCAUCUGAGCGACUCUCUCCCCCACAACCCUUCACUUCAGGCCCUCCAAGUGUGGAGUAAAGGGCUGGGCAGCAGAAGGAUUUCUCAUCCGUGCUGCACGAGUCUCGCAGACAUUUGUGUUUAAAGUAUAUACACAUAGGUCGAACGAUUUUCUUAAAGUAUUUUGUU